AUGAGACAACAAUUUUUCCCUCCUUACUAUCAUCGUGAAUUGCUUCGCAAAUUUGAACAAUUUAAACAAGGCAACAACACUGUUCAUGCUUACUACCAAGAGUUCAAAUCUUAUAUGCAUCAUUGUCACAUAGAAGAAUCUGAGGAUGAUACAAUGAAUAGAUUUUUUGGUGGUUUGAACCAUGAUAUUCAGGCAAGAUUUCAGUACAUUCCUCGUUGCAUUACUGGUAUGUAUGUUCUGCUUGUACCUUUGAGAGACAGAUACAGGAGGACGCAUUGGGUGACUGCAACAACUACUAUUCCAGUUCAUGCUCACCACCGCCGGUUGGUUCCUCCACCAUUGCACCUACUAGAGCAGCCCCACCUCAGAUUGUGA
This 375-nucleotide ribosomal RNA is filed under the name Triticum aestivum (bread wheat). RNAcentral describes it as "partial small subunit ribosomal RNA". The record is from RNAcentral. Lineage: Eukaryota; Viridiplantae; Streptophyta; Magnoliopsida; Poales; Poaceae.